RNAcentral lists this long non-coding RNA (2741 nucleotides) under Varroa destructor (honeybee mite). RNAcentral describes it as "uncharacterized LOC111244453, transcript variant X2". The record is from RNAcentral. Lineage: Eukaryota; Metazoa; Arthropoda; Arachnida; Mesostigmata; Varroidae.
UCAGCUUUACCCGACUAUAAGGUUUUAACUCAGGACAAUCAUUUACUAUUCUUACACUCGUCCUGGAAUCAUUAUUAUUACGGAAAAAAAUAUCAAAUAGAGAAGAGGAUGAGGGUAUAAUUUACGUUAAGGUCUGUCUACAACUAAUUAUUAGAUUAGGACGUCCCUAACAAUUAUUGUCACUCCUGAUUAUUAUAAUUACAUGACAUUGCUCAAUAUCCCCUUACAGUAUAUACUGCACUGCUUGCGUAAAGAACUAAUCCAUCCAGGUUACCUUGAUCGAACAGCACAGAUGUUUUUCUGUUUGUUUGUCGUACUAAAAUGUGGAUAUUGCUUAGCCUGUCAUGUAUUACGGCAUAUUUAAAUCCACGAAGUCCAAUCAGCCCGACUGUUCGCCAAACGAUGCGAAUCGACCGUCUGACCAGCCGACCAACAGGCCACGCCUAUGUCGUGGUAUGACGACCGUUUCUUGUCGGUCUGCGUAACAUAACGCUAGUAUAAUUCGCGCGGCCGUCACCGGUGCAGUGAUCACCGGUGGUUGUUCUGUUGUUAUAGCAUGAGAAACUGCGGACAUUCUCACAGACGUCUUUCUUUUUUAACGCGUCCUUUGAGAUGCUGUGGCGUACCAUGUAGCAGAAUCUACGCUAUAUUGCAACGACGGAUCUGUCCGUCUGUUUUGUUGGCGAGUCGCCUGUUUCUAUAUAUGUGUGCGUGAACAUAAAAGAACACGGCGUCAAAAAGUCGACAGAAUAAGGUAGGAGAAGAAAAUAGCGAGAGGCAGCAAGACUCUUCAGUGGUUGUAAUGACAGCUAUCGUAGGAGUCAAUGUAAAGGUAACGGUAUUAAUGGCAUAGGAAAGAGACGCCAUAGCAAACCGCAAAGCCACCAUGUGUUGCGAACUCACAGCAGCAGCAGCAGCAGUAGUGCUUGCCUUAUGUAAAACAGAUUGCGCGUUCCGAACUCUCGUCCAUUCCUUGCUUUGUUACCUUUCCUUUUCUUCUACUUCAAUUUGCACCUAUUUAUUCCUUUGCUUCGUCCGCCCCCACAAGGGAAAAAUUAUUCGAGCUGUUAAGGCUCCUUCGUAUCCUUUUCAGUUUUUGUUCGACACAGAACCGCUAUCAAAUGAACAGAAAGAAGUUAGCCGCACUCCCGAUCGGAGGUUCUCACAUCAUGCAGAUUUAGAUUCGGAGCGAUUAUGUUAUUAGACAUAAGAGGAGUAGCGCACUAUUCAGGAAAGGCCAGUGAACUUGCUCAGAUUUGAUGUGACUGCGGGCAACAAUGAAAGAAAUAUAGCCAAACUUUUAUAAGAGCGCUAGAAAGUCGUCAACACGUAAAGACUGUUGUCACUGUCAACUCGAAUUUAAUACGUGUAGAGAUCACUUUUUACGUUCGGUGACAGAGACAAAGUGACAUGAUGAAAGGGUUCUGAAAUUUGCUCAUAACCAAAUUGGUUGCCACUCGAUCAGUAGUUUGAAAAAUCCAACAAAGCAAACCAAUUUCUAAACGACAACGAACAAAAUAGCCAGCCUUUGUUCUGGACACGGCAUACAUUCCCCUCAUGAGCUACUGAAUUCUGGGGACUUACGCAGGAUAAAUCCCCAGAACAGGACCACUUCAAAUGACACCUUAUCGACUCAACUGUUCUGGUUUGCUUGAUAAUAACGUACCUGGAACAAAACAAGCAGUUUCAUGUAGCUAAUCCGUCUGCCAAGACGAAGAUUUGUCUGUACUGGCCUACCCGCAUACUCGUUUCACGUUCGCGCAGCAAACGGAUAACUUCUGUUUGGCAAUUUGUGCUCUAUAGUAAAGUGACGGUGCUCCUAACACAGGCUUUGCGCGACAUGUGACGCAUGAGCUUUGCGAUGCUACAAAUGGUAGAGAUUCUAUACUUUCGACUAUAGGCAUAAUUUGAAACUAAAUCGACCCUUGAUGUUUAUGUAGGUCCAAAGGAUAACGCCGACAAGAGCGGCCGUUAGUGCGUCGCUGGUUUUUCGUGACAUCGCAUAUUUCAACGGAACUAGUUGUCCGAACUAUCAUUAUUCGCUGGUGACCUCUCAUUGAUAACGGACCUCAACCGACCGAAGGAGAAGAGGGCAGCUAUGCAAAGGAGUUUUCGCGACUUCGGUGCUUCGUUGAUUCCCACACUCGAGCUAUGACAGAUGAAGAAAUCAUGGGACGUUGUCGACCGCUAAAAACGUGCGAGGAAAAAGACCAGUCUUCCUGGUAACGAGAGCAACAACAUCAACGACUGUCAGCCCAGCCCAAGCACCUACCCUAAAAAUCCUCGUAUUCGGCUACGGUUGCAGAAGUUAGAAGUGAACACAGAAGUGGGGUGAGAUAGGUAUAGUUGCUUAAAAAAAUCGAAUCAUCAUGGGUACCUGUAGACAGCUGUGUGUCAGACGACUAAACAUACCAAAAUGUCUAAAUGGAAAGAUGGACUGUUUCGGUGGAGAUAAAUGAUAAAUGUAGAGAAAGAAUAAAAUUGAUAAUGACUUGCUAAGAACCAAAAUAAGAUCAUCAGACGUUUCUGUGUCGCUUUCUAUCCGAUAUACAAAAAUUAAUGGGUGGCCUUCGAUCAAGGGCAGCCGCUUUUUUAAUUACUCGUUUUUAUCAUAACAAAAAUGUUGUUUCUACAAUUUUUUUGUUGAUGACUCCUUAGAGUGGAGUGUAUUAUAUCAAAAUCAGUUUCAGAAAAGCUGAUUGCGUUUCUUUGUUUUCUUUAAUGGUAAUAUGUUGUCAAAA